UACGGAGGGGGCAAGCGUUGUUCGGAAUUAUUGGGCGUAAAGCGUAUGUAGGCGGCCGAUUAAGUCAGGCGUGCAAGCCCGUGGCUCAACCACGGAAUUGCGUUUGAAACUGGUUGGCUUGAGUACAGGAGAGGAAAGCGGAAUUCCCAGUGUAGCGGUGAAAUGCAUUGAUAUUGGGAAGAACAUCUGUGGCGAAGGCGGCUUUCUGGUCUGUUACUGACGCUGAGAUACGAAAGCCAGGGGAGCGAACGGG
Molecule: ribosomal RNA, 253 nt
Filed under: uncultured bacterium
Lineage: Bacteria
Description: partial 16S ribosomal RNA
Rfam family: Bacterial small subunit ribosomal RNA
Source: RNAcentral